CUCCAGGGAACACCCCCAGCUCUCCCAGCCUGGCUCCAGAGCAGAGCAACUCCAGCCCUUGGAGCAGCUCCGUGGCCUCCUCUGGACCUGCUCCAAUGAUUCCAUGUCCUUAUCCUGAGACUCCAGGGGUGGAUUCAGUGCUCCAGGCUGGAUGUCACAAGGGCAGAGCACAGGGAGUGGAGUGUUUCUGUAGGUCAGACUUGCUCCAAGAUUCUGCAGAGAACAGCAGUGUUUGGGAAGGAGAAUAACCAGCAGCUGAAGAAAUUAAAUUUUAUGGGCUGUUUAGUGAAAAUAAAUGUAUUUACAUCCAUGAGACUGGA
Lonchura striata (white-rumped munia) is the source of this 320-nucleotide long non-coding RNA. RefSeq lists it as uncharacterized. The record is from RefSeq and is a predicted model, not a curated record. NCBI's taxonomy places the organism in Eukaryota, Metazoa, Chordata, Aves, Passeriformes, Estrildidae.